UACGUAGGGUGCGAGCGUUAAUCGGAAUUACUGGGCGUAAAGCGUGCGCAGGCGGUGAUGUAAGACAGAUGUGAAAUCCCCGGGCUCAACCUGGGAACUGCAUUUGUGACUGCAUCGCUGGAGUGCGGCAGAGGGGGAUGGAAUUCCGCGUGUAGCAGUGAAAUGCGUAGAUAUGCGGAGGAACACCGAUGGCGAAGGCAAUCCCCUGGGCCUGCACUGACGCUCAGGCACGAAAGCGUGGGGAGCAAACAGG
RNAcentral lists this ribosomal RNA (253 nucleotides) under uncultured bacterium. RNAcentral's name for it is "partial 16S ribosomal RNA". It matches the Rfam family "Bacterial small subunit ribosomal RNA", at positions 524 to 776 of the family's 1533-position model. The record is from RNAcentral.